GAAUAUUGCACAAUGGGCGCAAGCCUGAUGCACCCAUGCCGCGUGUAUGAAGAAGGCCUUCGGGUUGUAAAGUACUUUCAGCGGGGAGGAAGGUGUUGUGGUUAAUAACCACAGCAAUUGACGUUACCCGCAGAAGAAGCACCGGCUAACUCCGUGCCAGCAGCCGCGGUAAUACGGAGGGUGCAAGCGUUAAUCGGAAUUACUGGGCGUAAAGCGCACGCAGGCGGUCUGUCAAGUC
This 238-nucleotide ribosomal RNA is filed under the name Salmonella enterica subsp. enterica serovar Weltevreden. RNAcentral's name for it is "partial 16S ribosomal RNA". It matches the Rfam family "Bacterial small subunit ribosomal RNA", at positions 359 to 589 of the family's 1533-position model. The record is from RNAcentral. Lineage: Bacteria; Pseudomonadati; Pseudomonadota; Gammaproteobacteria; Enterobacterales; Enterobacteriaceae.